UACGGGGGGAGCAAGCGUUGUUCGGAAUCACUGGGCGUAAAGGGCGUGUAGGCGGCCAAGCAAGUCGGGGGUGAAAUCCACUGGCUCAACCAGUGACGUGCCUUCGAAACUGCCUGGCUUGAGUAUGGCAGAGGGAAGCGGAAUUCCAGGUGUAGCGGUGAAAUGCGUAGAUAUCUGGAAGAACACCGGUGGCGAAGGCGGCUUCCUGGGCCAAUACUGACGCUGAGGCGCGAAAGCCAGGGGAGCGAAC
RNAcentral lists this ribosomal RNA (250 nucleotides) under uncultured bacterium. RNAcentral's name for it is "partial 16S ribosomal RNA". It matches the Rfam family "Bacterial small subunit ribosomal RNA", at positions 524 to 773 of the family's 1533-position model. The record is from RNAcentral.